Austrofundulus limnaeus is the source of this 1877-nucleotide RNA transcript. It is a transcript of the gene named arginine/serine-rich protein 1, with no coding region annotated. The transcript has 4 exons. The record is from RefSeq and is a predicted model, not a curated record. NCBI's taxonomy places the organism in Eukaryota, Metazoa, Chordata, Actinopteri, Cyprinodontiformes, Rivulidae.
GCUGCUGCAGGCAGUCAUUUUGUGUGACGACGGCAGAAGCUUCAACACUGAAGAAGACACAACGCUUUCGCCACUUCAUAGUUUGGCUAGAAAUCAACAUAUCUCAUAACAGUUUAGCUCUUAAUCUUAACUAUCGCUUUUUUACGUGACUUUAAGUGAUAUUUUCCCCAUAUAUCUCUUUUUUUGUCGCCUUUUCAGAAGAGUUUCGAUCUACACGGCUGACCUGCCUUAGGCAGUAAAUCGAACAAUGGCUUCUCAAGUGGACUCGCACUCUGACAUGGCUCAGGCUCGUCAGACUGAUGGGCUCAAUGUGAUCUUCGACCAGAAAAGCCCCGGGUCCUCCCACUCUCGUUCCCGUUCUCGCUCAAUGAGCAGCAGCGCCAGCAGCAGCCGCUCCGGCAGAUCCGACUACAGGGGACGUAGAGGCAGCAGGGGACGCUACAGGUCUUCCUCGUCCUCCUCUUCAUCCGCAUCUUCUAGGAGCACGUCCUCUUCCCGCUCCAGGUCUCGCUCGUACCCCCGCUGCCACCGGCAGUCCUCCCGCUGUCGCUGUGAUGACCAUCGCCGGUACAGCCGCUACAGUCACCGCCGCUCCCCACCUCGCCGCUACAGGGCCCGGUCUCGCUCCUACAGCCGCUCACCCUCGCUGGACAGAUACUACAGUCAUCGUAGGUACUACAGGUCACGCUCCAGAUCUCGUUCCCGGUCUCCCGCACGCUGGAGCAGGUACAGGAGACCCAUCAGCCAGUUGAGAUGCAAAUUCUCCCCAUCCCCUUCCAGAACCUACAGAGGGCGGUCAAGAUCUAGAUCCCCCGGAAGAUCAGUCAGUCUAAGCUUGCAUGACAAAAAGAAACUCCUUGAAGUUGCCCAGGCCAAUGCUAUGCGGAUGCUUGGAGUGGCAAGACUUGAACUUCCUGAAAGUGUGAAACCAAUCCUUUCAGAGGAACAAGAACCUAAAAGGUCUUCACCAGAACCAAUGACAAGGUGGAAACAGGUCUCCACAAAGCCAGAGGUGGGUGUGUUGGUGUGCUUUGUCUCACAGCAACACCGCUGAAAACAGAAGGCUUUGAAACUUGGAACAGUAUUUUAUUUAAGAUUUGUACACAUGUAUAUGAAGUACUUAAAAAAAUCCUUUGUAAAGCAAUUUAUAAUUUCUAAGUUAGUGGUGAACAUUUUAAGUUUUACACCAAUGUAUAGUUUUUAAUAUAAACAUUUUAGGACUUUUUUCAUAUAUAUAUAUAUAUAUAAUCUCAGCAAACUAAUUUUCURCUGCUUAGCUUAAGGUUUGUGCUGUGUUGAAUUUCCUGUUUUGUUUAUCGUUUGGCCCCACGAGGGAACAAAGAUACUCUCUGUAUUUAUUCCUGUCUUCAUAGAUAACUUGACAAGCUCUCCUUCACUCAUCGGCACCUGGGAUUAAAGGGCUGACUUGGGUGACAACAAUAUUUGUUUGCGUUUUUUCAAAAGGUUGUCUCAUGAUGCUAGUGCAAUUAAGUCUUCAUGUACACAUUCCAUACAGCUGAGUCUGCCACUCGCUGAUGGAGCUCGAGCGUGUGGACGGCAUUAUARUGACUAUUGAAGAACUCUUCUCCGUAUGCCAAAGAUAAGUUGGUACACACAAUGUGUGCUGAGGGGCUGGGUAACCUGCGUCGCCAUCUUUUAACCAGUUUAGAAAAAGAUGUUUACACUUGUGCUUUUUGUUUUUGUCCAACAUUGAGGUCUGUCUUUCAAAUUUAAUUGUAGGAAAGUCUGCAUGAAAGCAGCACUACUUUUUUUUAUGCUGUAGUAAAUCCAGUAACAUUGAAGUCAUUAUGACUAGACUUCAGACUCUGAAGACUAAAGAUAAUUGACGUGUUUUUCACGCUUGAGUAACUUCGCAU